AGUGAACGCUGGCGGUAGGCCUAACACAUGCAAGUCGAACGGCAGCACAGUAAGAGCUUGCUCUUACGGGUGGCGAGUGGCGGACGGGUGAGGAAUACAUCGGAAUCUACUUUUUCGUGGGGGAUAACGUAGGGAAACUUACGCUAAUACCGCAUACGACCUACGGGUGAAAGUAGGGGAUCUUCGGACCUUGCGCGAUUGAAUGAGCCGAUGUCGGAUUAGCUAGUUGGCGGGGUAAAGGCCCACCAAGGCGACGAUCCGUAGCUGGUCUGAGAGGAUGAUCAGCCACACUGGAACUGAGACACGGUCCAGACUCCUACGGGAGGAAGCAGUGGGGAAUAUUGGACAAUGGGCGCAAGCCUGAUCCAGCCAUACCGCGUGGGUGAAGAAGGCCUUCGGGUUGUAAAGCCCUUUUGUUGGGAAAGAAAAGCAGCAGGUUAAUACCCCGCUGUUCUGACGGUACCCAAAGAAUAAGCACCGGCUAACUUCGUG
RNAcentral lists this ribosomal RNA (492 nucleotides) under uncultured bacterium. Its description in RNAcentral is "partial 16S ribosomal RNA". It matches the Rfam family "Bacterial small subunit ribosomal RNA", at positions 29 to 507 of the family's 1533-position model. The record is from RNAcentral.